GACGAACGCUGGCGGCGUGCUUAACACAUGCAAGUCGAACGGAAAGGCCCCUUUGGGGGUACUCGAGUGGCGGACGGGUGCGUAACACGUGCGUAACCUGCCCUUGACUUCGGGAUAACUUUAGGAAACUGGGGCUAAUACCGGUAAGGAAUCCUAUCUUCAAGGGGGGGGUUGGAAAGUUUCGGCGGUUUUGGAUGGACUCGCUGCGUAUCAGCUUGCUGGUGGGGCUGUGGCUUACCAAGGCGUCUUCGGGUAGCCGGACUGAGUAGGCGACCGGCCACAUUGGGACUGAGAGACGGCAGAGGCUCCGACGGGAGGGAGCAGGGGGGAAUCUUGCAGAAUGGGCGGAGGGCGGAUGCAGAAACGCCGCGUGCGGGAUGACGGCCUUAGGGUUGUAGAACGCUUGCAGAAGGGGCGAAGCUUGUGGUGACGGUACCUGCAGAAGAAGCACCGGCUAACUACGUG
Molecule: ribosomal RNA, 465 nt
Filed under: uncultured bacterium
Lineage: Bacteria
Description: partial 16S ribosomal RNA
Rfam family: Bacterial small subunit ribosomal RNA
Source: RNAcentral